UAUUAGUACUCUACAGAAAAAAAAAAAUCCCAAGAUCAUAUCAAUUGAUAUAGAAGAAUCAUGUGACAAAAUUCCAUAGUAGUUAAUGAUUUAAAAAACAAAACUCUGAAACAUGAGUACAGGGAAACUUCCUCAGUUUGACAAAGAACACCUACAGAGGCCUUUAGUUAGCACAUUUAAUGGUGAAAGUCUGAAUUAUUUUCCUCUAAAAUCAGGAAAAAGGCAAGUAUGUCUGCUCUCACCCUCACAUUCAACAGAAUGCUGGCAGUUCAACAGUGCGUAAGGCAAGGAAGUGAAAUAGAAGGUAGGAAUCAGAAAACAAGAAAUAGAACUGUCUCCAUUUGCAAAUAACAGGAUUAUCUAUGUAGAAAAUAUCAAGAACGCUACCAAAAAACUCCUAGAAAUACACACACACACACCAUUCAAACACCAAAAUUUAAAAGAUGAUACUGUUUAUAAUUGUUUAAAAUAUCUAGAUUCUGUAUGAUGAAAACUAUAUGCAGCGUGGAUGAAAGAAGUCAGUUUAGAUAAAUGGAGAGAAAUACUGUGCUCAGGGAACACUCAACAACAGUGAAGAUGUCAAUUUGCACGGCGUGGAUACCUCUGACAUUGCUGGGUCCAAACAACCAGUGUGACAUCACGGAACACAGUGCUGAGGUCUCGGUCCAUGGUCAGCUGCCUUCCCGGGCUUGAGGUGAGGCAGACAUCACACAGGAGGUCGUAGGAGGAAAGCUGCUGGGCCCGUGGCCUCCACUAUGGAACCUUUAAACGUGACAGUGGGACACAUUUGGUUUCUCAUACUUCUCCCCAGGACAGCUCUAGCCAGCUCCCCACUCCCUCGUUGGUAUGGUGUGUGGUGGCUCACCAUGUGACUUCAACAGGUCACCAGUUGAAGGGGGAAAUCAGAGAGUGGUAUACUCCAAAGCCAAACCGACAUUUGCCUUUUUUAAAAAAUAUAUUUAUUUUACAGUUGGACACAAAA
Ictidomys tridecemlineatus (thirteen-lined ground squirrel) is the source of this 982-nucleotide long non-coding RNA. RefSeq lists it as uncharacterized. NCBI's taxonomy places the organism in Eukaryota, Metazoa, Chordata, Mammalia, Rodentia, Sciuridae. The record is from RefSeq and is a predicted model, not a curated record.